Molecule: ribosomal RNA, 478 nt
Filed under: uncultured bacterium
Lineage: Bacteria
Description: bacterial SSU rRNA
Rfam family: Bacterial small subunit ribosomal RNA
Source: RNAcentral
CUACGUGCCAGCAGCCGCGGUAAUACGUAGGUGGCAAGCGUUGUCCGGAAUUAUUGGGCGUAAAGCGCUCGUAGGCGGUCUGUUAGGUCGGGAGUUAAAUCCGGGGGCUCAACCCCCGUUCGCUCCCGAUACCGGCAGACUUGAGUUUGGUAGGGGAAGGUGGAAUUCCUAGUGUAGCGGUGGAAUGCGCAGAUAUUAGGAAGAACACCAGUGGCGAAGGCGGCCUUCUGGGCCAUAACUGACGCUGAGGAGCGAAAGCUAGGGGAGCAAACAGGAUUAGAUACCCUGGUAGUCCUAGCCGUAAACGAUGGACACUAGGUGUGGGGGAAUAUUUCUUCCGUGCCGCAGCUAACGCAUUAAGUGUCCCGCCUGGGGAGUACGGCCGCAAGGCUAAAACUCAAAGGAAUUGACGGGGGCCCGCACAAGCAGCGGAGCAUGUGGUUUAAUUCGAAGCAACGCGAAGAACCUUACCAGGGCU